This 87-nucleotide microRNA precursor is filed under the name Zootermopsis nevadensis. Lineage: Eukaryota; Metazoa; Arthropoda; Insecta; Blattodea; Termopsidae. The record is from RNAcentral.
AAAAAUAGGUUAGGUUAAUGUGUGUGGAUAAAUGACAUAACUUUCAAGUAUAUGUCAUUUAUCCACACACAUUAACCUAACCUAUUU